RNAcentral lists this ribosomal RNA (133 nucleotides) under uncultured bacterium. Its description in RNAcentral is "partial 16S ribosomal RNA". The record is from RNAcentral.
GGAGGUACCGUCAUCACGCUGGAUAUUAACCAGCGCUCAUUCUUCCCUCCCCACAGAGCUUUACAACCCGAGGGCCUUCAUCGCUCACGCGGCGUCGCUGCGUCAGGCUUUCGCCCAUUGCGCAAGAUUCCCU